This 480-nucleotide ribosomal RNA is filed under the name uncultured bacterium. RNAcentral describes it as "bacterial SSU rRNA". It matches the Rfam family "Bacterial small subunit ribosomal RNA", at positions 29 to 507 of the family's 1533-position model. The record is from RNAcentral.
ACGAACGCUGGCGACGUGCUUAACACAUGCAAGUCGAACGGAGCACCCUUGAAUGAGACUUCGGUCAAAGGAAAGGAAUGCUUAGUGGCGGACUGGUGAGUAACGCGUGAGGAACCUGCCUUUCAGAGGGGGACAACAGCUGGAAACGACUGCUAAUACCGCAUGAUACAUUUGGGUGGCAUCAUCUGAAUGUCAAAGAUUUAUCGCUGAAAGAUGGCCUCGCGUCUGAUUAGCUGGUUGGUGAGGUAACGGCCCACCAAGGCGACGAUCAGUAGCCGACCUGAGAGGGUGACCGGCCACAUUGGGACUGAGACACGGCCCAAACUCCUACGGGAGGCAGCAGUGGGGAAUAUUGCACAAUGGGGGAAACCCUGAUGCAGCGACGCCGCGUGAGCGAAGAAGUAUUUCGGUAUGUAAAGCUCUAUCAGCAGGGAAGAAGAAAUGACGGUACCUGACUAAGAAGCACCGGCUAAAUACGUG